UCUGGUGAUUAUAACGUGUAGGCAACACCCCUAUCCAUACCGAACAGGAAGGUUAAGCUACACUGUGCUGAUGGUACUAUAGGGUUACCCCUAUGGAAGAGUAAGUCAUUGCCAGUU
Candidatus Arthromitus sp. SFB-mouse-Japan is the source of this 117-nucleotide non-coding RNA. The record is from Rfam. Lineage: Bacteria; Bacillati; Bacillota; Clostridia; Eubacteriales; Clostridiaceae.